Molecule: RNA transcript, 1369 nt
Organism: Arachis stenosperma
Lineage: Eukaryota; Viridiplantae; Streptophyta; Magnoliopsida; Fabales; Fabaceae
Gene name: kinetochore protein NDC80 homolog
Exons: 3
Source: RefSeq, a predicted model, not a curated record
CUUCUCCGAUUCGAACCACCUUUAACUGCAGAUAUGAGAUCCGGCGCCGGACACCGCCGACAACCCAGGGACUCAUUCAUUCCGACAGAUUCCCAUCAGCGCCAUCAGUUCCCCCGUGACUCCAACGCCAGUUUGGCGAGCAGCCGCCGUUCUUCCUCCGGCGGCGCGAGGUGCACGAAGAUCGAGGACUACAAGGAGCGCCGCUUGCAGAAAUCGGUGAUUUCCGCCCUCAACAAGUUCCUGAAGACGCGGGACUUUCACAUCAUCAAAUCCAGCGGAACCCCACCUUCCAACGACAUCCUCGAUACCCUAAAAAUCCUUCUGAGAGAGAUCGAGUACCCUGUGUCGAGGCUCGAAGAGGAUCUUCCCCCUCUCCUGAAGCGCCUCAAUUACCCUUUCACGAUCCACAAAUCCAUCCUCAAAAUCCCCGACCCUCAUCAUUGGCAUCACUUGCUCGCACUCAUUCACUGGCUCGUUCAGAUCGCCACCUUCGGCUCUCACAUCUCCGAAUCCACCUCCAAUACAGUCUUGUCCCUCGUCCAGGUCAACCUUGUCCACCAGUACACCCUCAAUUCCUAUGUUAACUACAUUAAGGGCCAUGAUGAUGUGGUUGAAGAACUCGAACUCGACAUCAUGGACAAGCUCAACCACCAGAAGGUCCUCGCCGAGGAGAAGCUCGAGGCUGCCAACAAUGAACUCAAGAGUUUGAGGGAUGACUUAGAGAAGCUGAGGUUGCAUCCCGUAAAGAAGGACGAGUUGGAGAAGAUUAAGGGCAUGCUAGAGGACGAUGUGAAGAAGUUUAAUCUUCUGAUUGAGGAUGUUGGGGGGGAGAUUGAGGAUAUGGUGAAGGUGCUGGCAGAGAAGGAGAAGGUUCUGGAGGCGAAGGAGCAGGAGAACCAUAGGGUUUGCGAGGAGAACAAGGAACUGAGGAGGACGGACGGUGGAGGCGCAGCCUGUGAAUGCAAGGGAUGUGGAGAGGAUGAAGAGGGAGUUGCAGGCUUUGGAGAGGGAGAUCGAGGAGGACGAGCUUGCCAGGAAUGUUUGGGAGGACAAGUCCCGGGAACUGGAGAAUAGUCUUUCUCACGAGUUCAAGGACCUUGAGGCGCUUGCUUUGGAUUGCAACCAAGAGCUGAGGAGGUUGAAGAUCGGUGAUAAUAUUCGGUAUCAGUUGAAUGCCAAGGGAACUACACCUGCUGAGAUUAUGGGUUUUGACCAUAAAUUGAGUCUGAAGCCUGCACUUAACUCGUACACUGAGGACAUUAAGAAGAUUUAUAUGGGGAGAUGGGAAGAGUUAAUUUCCUAUCAGCAAAUGUCCAAUGAAAAUGCUUCUAGGCUUGAGGAAAAAAGAAAUAAUGUUGCAACAGUGCAG